Molecule: long non-coding RNA, 944 nt
Filed under: Anser brachyrhynchus (Pink-footed goose)
Lineage: Eukaryota; Metazoa; Chordata; Aves; Anseriformes; Anatidae
Description: lncRNA (ENSABRG00000011582.1)
Source: RNAcentral
CACAGCUGCAAAUAUGUAAACAAAGGUUACAUGCUUAGAAAGGAAAAUUGAGCCUUAAGUCAUGUUUUUGUGAUAGACUUUUGUUAGUUCUUAGUCUACUGUUAACAUGAAGCCCAGUGCCAAAUUAAAUUCCUUAUUCCUAGAUUGGAGUGCAUGCUGUUCCAGGAACUCACUUUGUGGUUAUUUUGUUUAGGUUUGGGAUUGCUUCGUUUUCAUUUUGCUCAUCUGACUCGGAACCCCUUGCUUUCUGUUUGGUAGGAAUAAAUCAGAUCGGGUGUAGCUUGUAUAACGAGAUGGGGGCAUCUACAAAAAGUGAUUAACAGGAAAAAGAAGCCAUGGGGUGUUGUUGGUUUAAGUUAUAUUCCAAUGUGUGGCCUUAGGCCUUGGAAACCCAGAGAAUGCUGUGUUUUUGCUAUCUCCAGAAGUUGUGUAUGAUUUUCAUUGGUGGACCUGAGAAUGCAGUCAUGCUUCAAAUAAAAUUGGUACAUUAACUUGGAAGAGGAGAGAAAAGGACAGUGGAGGAAGGAAGCUGAGCAGAGAGAUGAAGCUAAGCAACAUCUGAAAGGUAGCUGACCAGUGCAAUGGAUGUUUUAGACUCAACAAAUACCCUGUUAAGCUAGAUUCCUAACAUAGCCAUGGAUUUUCAUUUCUGUUCUGAAAGAAUUUGGAUCUGAUGUAACCCAGGUGUUAUUCAUGAAGAAUAUAUUCAUAAAAGUAUUAGUCCUGCCAGAAACAUUCCAGCCCAUCAAAAGAGAAUAGAAAAACUUGCUGAACUCUGGAAGACAGUGGUUAUAUGGAGAAGAAAAGGUAAGAGUAAUUUCUAUGCAUUUCUUAAGGUAUAUCUAUUUGAAGCCUGGCAUAAUUUUUUUAAUGAUAGAGGUUUUUAGGUACAUAGUCUAGAUGCAUAGGUUUUUUUUACAGAUCAUAUCAAUGAUAUAGGGAAG